UAUCAAGCAUGGAAGAGUAAUCUGUGGUAUUUAAAGAUGGGAGAUUUGGGAGGUAAUUAGGGUUAAAUGAGGUCAACAGAUUUGACCAGUAGCCCAAUGGCACUGCAGUUUUGUAAGAAGAGGAUUCUUGAACUAGGAUGCUCUGUUUUUUUGUGUGAUGCCUUGGCUAUCUGCAGAGUCCUUACCAUGCAAGAAAGACCUUCCCAAUGCAGCCACCUAGGCUUGAACUUUCCGGUCUUUAGAAUUGUGAGUUGAAUAAAAUUUGAUUCUCCAUAAGUUAUUCUACAAUAUUCAGUUAGAGCAACAACAACAACAACAAACAAAUAAACAAAACCAGCCUACAAAAGAGCCUUUACUAAAGAGGAAAAGGAAUUUAAAUUUUAAGAGAAUAAAACAAGAUGCUAAAUUGGUAGACAUAGAAAGAGAUGACAUUCACUAGAGCAAAUAAACACUGAGUAAAUACAGAAUUCUGUUACUGUCGUUAAAGGGUUAAAAAUAUUUCUCAGUGCUGAGACUGAGGCUGUUGCUCAGUGGUAAAGGGCUCUCCUGGUGUGUGUGAGGCACUGGGUUCGAUUCUCAGCACCACAUAUAAAUAAAUAAAAGCUUAUCAACAAUUAAAAAUAAAACAAAGUAGCCAAUACUCUUUAAAAAUAUUUCUCAAAAGAAAUUAAGUGCAGAAAAUUAGAAAAAAAGAAAAAAAAAAUGAAUGAGAGGAGAUAAAUUCAAUUUAUGGAACUAUAAGUGAAAUUUUUAUUAACCUGAAUUACAAUAUAAAUGCAAAUACUAAAUCAACAUAUCCAGUUAGCUAGAGAUUUGCUGCAGGUGGAAAAAGAAAUCCAUCUGACAAGUCCAUACUAAACCUUAUGCCUGUUACUUAGCAUAUAGACAAAAUUAUUUCAAAAUAUCAUUAAACUUUCUCCAUCUGCAAAUCUAUUUAUCACAUUUUGUUUUUAUAUAUUCUAUGAAAAAAGUUCCUCAAAGAAAUACCAUAAUCACUCCAUUUCUUAUGUUCUUAGUGUAUUAUUCACUGAAAUACACCAAGAUUAAGUCUAAGCAUAGAAUAAUUAGUUUUCAUGCAUUAUCAAAUUAUUAACUACAUUCCUGACUUCUGGCUAGUGUCAAGUCCUUUCUUCUACUAACAAUGUGGAUACUUCAAGUAGUUGGACGUUAUUAUUACUUAAAUAUUAGGUGUCCCCAAAAAGCACAUGUAUGAGACAAUGCAAGAAAGUUUUGAGGUGAAAUGAUUUGUGUCAUGAGAGCCUAAAUCCUUAAAUAGGGAUUAAUUGGAUGGUAACUGGGCAGGUAGGGGUGGCUGGAGGAGGUGUGUUCCUGGGGGCAUGCCUUUGGCGUAUACAUUUUAUCAUUGUUGAGCACACACCCCUCUUACCCUUUCUCUCUCCCUUUCUCUCCCCAACUCCCUCCUUCCCCGCUCCUCUCCCUUCCUAGUUGUUUUCCCAGCUGUUUUCUGAUAAGAACAGAUACUACACUUGAUCUUAGCCAAAAGGCCGAGAAGCGAUUCCCCAGCUGUUUUCUUCCAUCACUCUCUUCUGCC
This 1552-nucleotide long non-coding RNA is filed under the name Marmota monax (woodchuck). Lineage: Eukaryota; Metazoa; Chordata; Mammalia; Rodentia; Sciuridae. The record is from RNAcentral.